RNAcentral lists this unclassified non-coding RNA (1386 nucleotides) under Hevea brasiliensis (rubber tree). The record is from RNAcentral. Lineage: Eukaryota; Viridiplantae; Streptophyta; Magnoliopsida; Malpighiales; Euphorbiaceae.
AAACUUUGUUUCUUGUCAAUCUUGCUUCAAGUGUAUGGCUGAAUUAAGAACUCAUGUUUUUAUAUUAUUUGUUUAUGUUAAUUUAUCGAAUGAAAAUCAUAUUAUAUCCUAGCUAUUUUCAUGUAUACGUAAGAAUUUGCUGCCAUAUCUUUACCAUAUGGUAUGGAACUUAUUUUUGUAUUGGGUUGCUAACCUGAUCAGCAGACAAGGCGGGUACAUGUUAAUAUGUUAUGCACUCUUGAGUCAUACAAAGUUAUUUACUUUCUCUCUCCCUCGUUUCUCAAUGUUUGCAUGACGCCACGCUCGGAUGCUUUACAUUAUAGUUUCGAGGAAUAUGUUGUAAUCCUUUUUUUUUUUUUAUUACCGUUAUGUUCUUUCCAGACGUGUCUGAAUUUCUUUUCUUCCCAAUAUCUAUUUUCUCUUUAGACUUUGGCAUUUUUGUCAUUAAUUGUCUAUCAAACUGUUUGACGUUGCAACGUGCUUGGCCAAAGAUUAACUCUAGGUGGUGAAUAUUUUGUUUGAUUGUUUUGAGCCAUAAUUCUUUGUUGUGAUUUGAUUGUUUGUGUUGAUUGUGUUAUAAUGCUUUGUGAUUCACUAUAUUGUAUAAGAAAGGGGUGUUCAGAGAUGUCAUUUCAUUUUGUGCUAGAGAAUUUUUUUUUUCUUGUUUGGGGAUCUCUGAAUGCAAGAAUUUCAUGCUAGAAUCUGUCCUAAUGUUACCUUAUUCAAGAGGAGGUGUUUCUAAUUGCAAGAUGAGUCACAAAAAGUGAAUCACUUGCUGUGGGUAAUUUGACACAUUCUUUUUACCUGCUGUUAUGUUUGGUCUCUUGGUCUAAUGAAAUAGUUCCAUCAUUUUUUUUAAGAUAACACUAGUUUUUAGUAGUUUUAUUAGCGGAUAUCAAGUAGAGGGUCUUGCUGAAUGCAUAGGCCUCUUAUGCAAUGCUAAUUAAUUGACACUGUUAAGUUUUUAAACCAGAACAGCUGGGGCUUUAACUAGUUAAUGAUAGAGAGAUAUCAACCAGGUUAAAGUGACAUUAUAUUUGAUGAAUUGAGGGUUGUUUUGUGAUGGAAUAGGAGAAUGGUUCAUUUGGAGUCGUUGUGCCAAGGCGUGUUCAGCUGGCAAUGAGGAACAACGAGGAGCCCAAACUUCUUGGUUCUGUUACCAUUGCUGAUGGUGUUGUGUUGCCUGACAGCCACAUGUCACUGCCUAAGAGAACUGGUUCUGGCCCGAAGGUCCUGCUGAUGUUGACCGCCACAGAUUUUCAUGUAACCUUUCCGCCCUUUAAAAGAAUAUUCUCAUGCGUUUUGGCAAUAGUGGGCAAGCAAAACCAUUGCCUGACUUGAUGUACUUUGACCAUUUUGAGAAAAAAGAAUAGGAUCUCAUUCACA